AGGACGAACGCUGGCGGCGCGCCUAAUACAUGCAAGUCGAACGGGUUGCCUUCGGGCAGCCAGUGGCGGACGGGUGAGUAACACGUGGGUGACCUGCCCUGAAGUGGGGAAUAACGCGGCGAAAGUCGCGCUAGUACCGCAUAUCUUUCGGUCUUCGUUGGUCGAAAGAAAGCUUAAUGCGCUUCAGGAGGGGCCUGCGGCCGAUUAGCUAGUCGGAGGGUAACGGCCACGAGGCAUCGAUCGGUAGCUGGUCUGAGAGGAUGACCAGCCACACUGGGACUGAGACACGGCCCAGACUCCUACGGGAGGCAGCAGUAAGGAAUCUUCCGCAAUGGGCGCAAAGCCUGACGGAGCGACGCCGCGUGCAUGACGAAGCCCUUCGGGGUGUAAAAAUGACUCUUCUGGGGACGACACAAGACGGUGCCCCAGGAAGAAGCCUACGGCUAACUACGUGCCCAGCAGCCGC
Molecule: ribosomal RNA, 466 nt
Filed under: uncultured soil bacterium
Lineage: Bacteria
Description: bacterial SSU rRNA
Rfam family: Bacterial small subunit ribosomal RNA
Source: RNAcentral